AUUACAAAUUACAAAUGCAAACUAAAGUGAAUUUAGGCAGAUUAAUCAGAUUGAUUUAGGCAGAUUAAUCAGUUUGUUUUUCUGCUCCAGUUUUCAAACUGCCUCAUCUUUGUUCUGUGACGAAAAAAAAAACCUGUUAUAUUUGCUCUGUCACAACUACAUGUGGAGUAGAGAGUCUUGUCAACGUUUUCCAAAAUCAAGUGAGUAGAAAUGCUUGGAGAAAUAUUUUCAGGUCUCAAGGGGUGUGCUGAGAGACGCAGGGGAUUCCAUCCAACUUGGUGACAGUACCCUGAUCCAAUGGCCUAAUUACGAGCGUUAAUCAUCAGGCUAAGUUUGAGGCACCUUUCACAAAGACUGUAGCGCCUCCUCAGUCUUCCAAGUCAAGAUAACAGAGUCCAAACUUUGAAAACCAUCCAGUUACCAUGGAGACGGUCCUGCUCCCGGACCAGUGGAGUAUGCCCAUCCUCAAGCCUCCAGACACCGCCGCGGGCCGCUGCCCUCAAAGAACCCACCACAGGCUGACAGGAAAUACUGUGCCAUGCACUUUCUUCCUCAUACUGUUUCAUCACCCUCCUAAAACUCGGAGGUUGGUAUGAUUAUUUUCCACAUCCUACAAGGGAAGACACUAAGACUAACUAGUUAAAUAUUCUGUCCCAAAUCAGUCAGUACGAGACAGGGCGGGGCUCGAGCCCUGGAAUCUCGAACCCCUGGUUCCUGGGGCGCCCCUCGGACGCGGGGUCCCAGGCGUGGGCUCUGCUCCGCUUGCCUCGCCACACGAAGGCCCUUCCACCCCGUCACGGACUCCAGGCUUCUUUGCGGGCCGGGACCGAGGGCCCGCGCCUGUGGUCGGGUCGCAAGACCCCGGCCGCCGCCAUCCCCGGCCGAGGCCGCCGCCCCGCCCCCGCUGGCUGCAGGCCCGGCGCCCGCCCCCCCGGGGUUUUCGCUUUCGCUUUCCCGCCGAUGUCGUUGAGGGAAACAGCGCAGCGGGGCCAGCUCAGGCGCAGCUGCCGUUCCCGGCGGGCGAGGGGCGCAGAGGGCGGCGGCGGCGGCGGCGGCGGCGGCGGCCGAGGAGACCGGGCCGGGCCCGGCGCGCGGCGAGGUGCCAGAGUUUGCAGCCUGUUGGGGAAAACCAACAUCAAGGACCAGUGCUUUGAAUGGACUACAGCCCAAUGGGUCUGUCCCAGUGCUGCUCCUUUACUGAGACAGCACUGCGGAGUGCCACCCUGCUUGCUAUGCACAGCUGCUCUGUGGAUUGAAGAUGAAGAUUCGGUGGAGUGAAGGACUGGAGGACUCCUGUGACAUUUUACUGCAGGCAGGGAAGGUGAGUAGUGUGGGAAAAAGGAAUGGCAGAAACCACGGCCAAGAUCUGUCUGGACUUCAGGGGACUCGUGCACAUGAGCUUGGCAUUCUCUCAGGGUAUAGAUCUUGUUUUAUUUUUCCUCAUUUCCCAGAUCUGAUGCAGGCUUUGCCUGACAGUUAACAAACGGUGUCAAGUGGGUGUGCAGUGUGUGCUGUAGGAAAUAAGGGCUCACUAGGACCCUGCUGGACAGGCCUCCCACCGGCUCCCACUUCUCUGGAGGGCCUAGCAGACAGCCACCAGCAGGAGCAGCCUCUCAGGACGCCCAGAGCUGCUGCCUGCCAGCCCUUCGCACACGAGCCCUGCUGACAGGGCUCAGACAGGGUUCCUUUCUCCUCUCCAAGCUGAACGUGGCCAGUCCACAGUUCCUUAACAUACUGACUGUCCCUCCAGUCUGGAGAGGCACAGAAGGAUCCAGGUGUCGUCUGGACAGGCAGAGCAUGGAUGAGGAUUGAAGAUUUAGGUCUGCAUGCUUCCUUCGGCCGUCAGUGUGGCUUCCAGUGCUGCAGGAAGGCUCAGGGUUGCUGCCCGUUGUCUUUCUUGCUUUGGUGUUCUCGUGGCCUUUAUGUAGGUAUAUUGUGCUAUAAAACCUCAUGUUGUAGGGCUGGGGACUUAGCUCAGUGGUUCUGCCUCUUACCUUGUAAGUGCAAGGUCCUGAGUUCAAUCCCCAAUACCAAAAAACCCCCCCAAAAACCAAACCUCAUGUUGUAGUUCUUGUGAGCAGAGUAGUUUUCCCUCCACAAUCCUGGAAACUCCCCGAAGGCAGCUGGCUGGUGGUGGGCACUCCAUUAAAUGUUAGCUAGUACUAUUUGCUUUGUUAUUUUCUCAUUGCAAUGGAUGACGUUCAUAUCAUUUAAUGAGCAUGUGCUGUGUGCCAAAAACUGCUCGAUGCUGGAAUGCAGCCCUACCUGCGGAGCUCCCAGGCACUUGGGAAGACUGGUUGAUUGGAUGAUGAAUCCUGGUUGUAGUCCCUGUGAUGAACACCUCUGCUGUCAGACAUCACUGGCUGCCUUCUGUGUGCUCAACUUAGAACCGAGCCCAUUCUUCAGCGGCCGGAGGAUAUCCUGUGGAGCAGUGCAGCGCCCGGCCUCCCAUCCUGUGUGAACUGCAAGGCAGCGGCUGUGGCCCUGAGGCCCUCUUCUCUCCCAGGCCAGGCUGCGCCUCCUGCUCACAGUUCUACUUUUCCUAAGCCAAACUGGAGGCCAGGGCACCGAGAACGUCGAGAUGGCAUAUUUCCAGAGUGUGGAGGAGACAGACUGUACCGCAGGAGCCUGGAGCCAGGCCCCAAAGGUUCUGCUGGCUGUCCCAGGGGCCUGCCCUUACGACAGCCCACCCGGGACAUCUCGGAGCUUGUAUCUCUGCUCAUCAGAAGUUGGAGGAGUGGGUUCGAGGGGGCAGCUGUUUCCUAUAAAAAUGUCCAGUAGAGGUAAUGUCCUUGGGACAAACUCUUUUUUUUUCUAUACUGGGGAUGGAACAUACAGCCUUCACUCUGAACUGUAUCCUCAGCUCCCUUUAAAAAAAAAAAUUAUUUUGAGAAAGGGUUUUGAUAAGUGCUAAAUUGCCCAGGGUGGGCUCCAACUUGCAGUGCUGGCCUCCCAAAGUACAGGGAUUACUGCUGGACACGAUGCCCGGUUGGUCAUCCUUUUUUUUGGGGGGGAGGGUACCGGGGAUUGUACUCCAGACCUUGUGCUUUCGAGGCAGGCGCCGGAACCACUGAGCUAAAUCCCCGGCCCUGGUUGGUCAUCCUUUUUGACACCCAAGCUAAGGAGGCUCAUUCUGUGCCUGAGGCUCCAGUGUCUCGCAUUCUGCCCGCUGGAAUACGGUCUCUCAGAGGGGCUGUGGAGCCUCGUGUGGUCGACUCCAACCAAGGUGCAGGCAUUUGGGGAGCGUCGUCCCCAGGUAAUUCCUGUGUGUCCAUUUCCUGUUACUGAGACAAAUUACUAUAAACUUGGUGUCUUAGAAAAACACACAUCUAUUUUCUUAAAGUUCUGAGGGCCAGAAAUCCAAAAUAAGUCUCAGUGGGCUAAACUCAAGGUGUCAGCGGGAAUGUGUUAAUCUCCACCGAGGCUCUGUGCCUGUCCCAGGGUCAAGAGGCUCCACGCGUUCUGCCCUGUGGCUCCUUCCUCUGACUUCAAGUCCAGCAGUGGCUGGUCAGGACUUCCACAUAAUGCCAUCUCUCAGAUUCUACCUCUCCUGCCUCCCUCUUCCCUGUUUAAGGAGCCCAGUGAUUACAUUGGGCCCCCCAGACAAUUUCUCUGUUUCCCACUUCCAGCAACCUUAAUUCUCCAUUGCCACGUAUCAUGGCGCAUCCACAGGUCCCACCCACUUGGACGUGGACAUCUUUAUUCCACCAUGGACCGUUAUUUUGCACACCCAGCCAACCUCUCCUGUGGCUUUUCCAAGGGUCUCAUCCUCAGGCAUAGACAGUGGGCUGGGCCAGACCAGUCGGGAUGUGCCCACCACUGGCAGAGAGGUCCUUUCUGCCCAGACACCCUCCCUGCUUUAGCUCACCUCCUCUUCUCUCAUCCUCUGCUCCCCCUCUGGCGUAGAGGGAAGCUGGUGAGGCUAGAUGCGCCGCGGGAGCCCAGGGAGCUGAGCCCUCCCCGGCCAGACAGCCUGUCUUCCAGGGGCUGGAGCCAGAGCCCAGCCUUUGCGGUCGCGGACUCACAGUCUGAGGGCAGUUGCAGGGUCGGAGGGGCAGGCAGGCACAUAUCGGAGACACACGUAUCCCCUGUGCCUCUCGGCCUCCCUUCCUCAGGUGACAACAGCCUGUCUACCCUCCGGCACUCGGUGGUCCUUUUUGGGGCUGGGACCUUGAGAGGCUCCCAAGGAGGGGAGGCCCCCAUCAAAUCUGUCCCUGGGUACUGGUGAGGACCUGGGGGAUCCAGGACCCCAGCAAGAGGUCUCAUCAGCACAGCAGAGCAAAGCAGGAGGAGCUGGACAGGGCCUUCGGUCUUCAAGUAUGGUGACCAGUUGGGCUUGGUUUGCCUAAGACUUUCCCACUUUGAGCAGUGGGGGUCCAAGCCCUGGAACUCGGUCAGAGCAAACCGAGACAGCUGGUCACCCUGUCUCCAGGGCCUUUAUCACAUUCUCUUCCGCUCUGGGUCAUCUCCGCUGCUACACAGCCAGCUCUUUGGACUCCUGGAUACUAGAAAGACCUGGGGGCUGAGGAAGGACCCCAGGCCCACGCCAGAAAGGAGCAGGCUCUUGCCCCAGCAAGCCCGGCAGAGGAGCCAUCAACAGUGAAGACCAAGCUGGUGUCUGCGGGGCACAGAGCUCCCAGGAGCAGUGUGCGUAAGACGGUGAAAAGGAAACCUCUAAACACUUAGCAGCCUGGUCACUUCUGAGUGGUGGAUUGCAGGUGGCUUUCAUAAAUACUUUGAGUUCCCCCUCUGUAUUUCUUCCUCUCUGUACAAGUAAGCCAUGUUCUUUCUGUAUGUUUUUAAUAAAAGAAAGCCAGUGGUGACUCAGCCAUCCAUCUCCAGUCCUGCUGAGGGACACGAGCAGUUGUGCUGGCACCUGUGACCUUGGCUGUGGGCUGGUCAUGGCCCCAUUCUGCCCGAAGCUCUACUGCAAGGGCAGGGAAGCUACUCCUCCGUGUCCUUCGGCCCCACAGUGCACCCAGGGUCCAGCCUGGCUUGUUCCCUGAGUGAAGACUCAAAAGCCUGAUGUGCUCUCUCUUGGCAGAGCAGGGGUGCAGGUGCUGAGGACACACAGGAUGUGGCUGGCCAUUGGGAGAUGCUCUUGAGCACCACUCUGGACUGAGAAUGAUGGGGAGAGGAGCUCUUGCCUCCAGGCAGCUGGCACCUGGUUGGAGAGCUCGGGUUACCCCACAGACCAUGUGGCGCAUGGUGGACUGGAUGAGGCCUUGCCUGUGAGGAUUGUCCGAGGUCGCAUAGGGGAGACCCAGGAGCCUCACUGCACUUGUCUUAGAAUGGCCAGAGGCCAAAACAGGUUUUCUUGAGUGACCUGAGGCAGCCCCCCAAGCUCGGGGUAAAUGGUCUCCCCCUCCCAGAACUCGCUGCUGGACACUUUGUGACAGAAGAGUGGCAAGAACAGUCAGCAAGAUGUUCCACUCUUAGACAGCUGGGCACCCUUGGGCCCUCCUCCUUGCCCUCUCCCCUCGUAUUCUUUGGGAGUGCCAGGCUCUAGACUUCCUCUGGCUGCCUCCGUCUGGUCUCCUGAUACCAAGCAGUUCUCUCCACCCCAAGCCCAGCAAGAGCACUUGGAAGGGAGCCCUGGGUCUCCAGUAGAGGCAGCCACCCCUCCACCUCCUACAUACAGGGCCAGCAUUCCCCACCCUAGUCCACCCUAGUCCACCAUUGUCCUGGUGAGGCCAACAUGUGACCUUGUUCAUUGUUUUGGAAAAGUAGUAAGUGUUCUGGCCUAAUGAUCCCUCCCUAUUGAACCCAGAACCCAAGCACAACUCCAUGUUCACACAACUCCCUUGACCCAGGAAGUCAGCUUUCUCAGAGAAGCCUGGCAUGUGCUUCCCCCUCCUUGCCACACCCUCGCCCCUAAGCCAAGAUCCUGCUCUAUCCCUUCUCCCUAAGCAAAGCUGCAGCUGAGUGUUUUUACUACUUUCUUUUUUUUUUUUGGUGCUGGGGAUCGAACUUGGGUCCUUGCGCUUGCACAGCAAGUGGCAAAACCACUGAGUUAAAUCCCCAGCCCCUAAACUGAGUGUUUUUAAGUGCUAGGGAAGACCUUGCUAGUCCUGCCUCAAUUCUGGGCAGAUUUGGGAAUCUGAACGUGUGAGGGAAAAGUGAUAGCAGAAUUGGACACUCCCCACAUCCAUGUGGUUUUUAAGGGAAAGAGGACAGUAGGAACGGAGACAGGGAUUCAGGCCAGUUCAGGAUUCGGCCACACAAAGUAGUGAGGGCCCCAACCUGGCGACCUCUUGGCUGGCUAUGGAGGCUGGGCAGGCCUCCCCUGAAGGGAAGGUAGUAGUGAGCUCUGGUGUCUACCUGGUGUGGCAACUAGCAUCUGCCUUGGGUGCUGCAGUUUCUCAGGAAUUAGACCCACUAGAGGCACAGGGCCUGAGCCCGGCCCAAGGCUAGGAGUUAGGAUGCACCUCUGAGUGGUCCAGACCUCUGAGGGACCCCAGAGGCCAAAACCGUCUGGCCUAGGGCAGAAGAGCUGGCUUCGCAGACAGAAUUGUGUCUAAAAAGUCCCCUUUGACCCCUAGAGCUGAGACCUACCAGGCCAGAGUCCCCUAGAGAAAACGGACUGUGUAGCUAAGCUGCUCCCUGCUCUGAGGCCAAGUAUCAAGCCUGUCAGGUCACAGCCCUGGCCUUGGCCUUCAGAACUGCAUGCAGGUGGCCUCCCGGGUAGAGGUGGGGAAUCACUUCUCUUGGGGCCCAAGCCAAACUCCACCACACUGGGGCCCUGGGGCCUGUGGCGGCAGAGCCAUAUUGUCUGAAGUACCAGGAGGGGCCAGGGGCGCUGAUGCCAAGGCGACACAGCAGCUGAACCUUUGCUGUCUUCCGUCAAGGUCUCCAGAUGCCUUCUUGUCAUAGGUUCCUAGUGCCCUGUCCCUUGCCGGCACUCCCCAAAUUCCCCCCCCAGGCUUCAGUUUCUUCCUUUGUAGGCAGCCUGAUCUUGUAGAACCCACCUGUGUUCUGGGCAUGGACAGGUGUGGGUUGGAAUCCAGCUGAGUCACCCGUCGUGGGCAAGCCCCUUGUGCGUGCUGAGCAUGGUUUCCUGGUCUGUGAAUGAGGCUGGGGGUGGGGAGCUGUGCCUGAGUGACAGUGCAAAGGGGAGCUUGGCACAGUCCCUGGUCCCAAGGGAACACUCGGGUCUGUUUCAGUAUCCAAGCAGAUCUGAGGUCUGCUCUAGUUCUGCUCCUUUCCAAGCUGCAGACUGCACUGAGCCCGCAGAAGUGGGGGCUUCUUCUGCAACUGCCCCCCCACCACCAGAAAAGCAGCAGAAAUGGACCUUUGGGAGCCGCCUGGAGCCAGGAAAACCACAGCCAACCAGCUAGGUCUUCCUCAGACUCGACCCCACAAGGGAGCUCUGGCCGGCGAAGCCGCCUUCCACCCUGCCACGUACCUUCACCUCUGGAAAAGGAGCACACCAGCGCCCCAGGCUCUGGUUUCUGUAAGAGCUGGUGAAAGUGGGGAGAGACCAGUGCUGAGUUCAGAUGGAUUUUACACAUCUUCCGUGUGGAGAGUGAGUGGUUGCCUCAGUUAAGACACAGCAUCACGUAGGUCAGACGAAAGUUCCUUGUUGGAUGCUUCAGCAGGGCUGUGUGGAGGAAACUCCGACCCCAUGCAAGAGUGGAGUUUUGGGUCUGGGCCAACAGUGAGAAAGACGGCCCACUGGUCGCAGAGAAUGACAACUUGGGCAUGACCCAGCUCCAUGGACUAGGUGGCAUCACUCCCAGAGAAAAGGGCUCCACCUGCAACCAAGCUCAAGGCUUUUCCCAGGAUUUCAGCUGGGCCCUGGGCAUACCCCACUGGAGGCUUCCAGAGACCGGGAGCAAGCUCUUAUGUGUGGAGGCAGGGUGACCACAACACCCUAUACACGUGCAUGGAGAGAUGCUGAAAGCUGAUACUCUAAGAAGGGAUGAUUUUCACAUUAGCCUUCAGCUUUCAUCCUACUGCAAGUAGCUGAAUAAAUAAACCAACCCGAUUAAAGUAACACCUUUGGAAUAAAACAAGGAAACUCCUCUGGCUGAUGAGAAAUGCCCUCCAGUGUCUGUAAACUUGGUUCAUCAUGGGUGUGCCUGAGACUAGCUGGUGUACCUGAAAUCCCCCUUUGAUACUUUACCCCAUUGCAAAGUGGCCCUCAAUGACCAUAAUGUCACAGUAAUCCCAACAAAGCUCAUCUUUCAAUGACCUCCUAGCUCCUUCAACCAAGAACUUCCAUUCUGAGUGCUUAGAUUGAAAAUCUUGGGAAUUACCUACCCUUAGGAAGCACUGACAAGUCCUGAAUGAUCUUAAACUUUUAGGCCCAAAUUUGGUUCAGAUUAUACUGAGGCUGAUCCUUUCCAGACUCUGUUUGCUAAUGAGAUAGUCCCAGCUGCCAUCACCUUUAGGUCUGACUUCUAGGCCUGGGCCGAGGUUCACAGUGAGAUGUGAUGCGACAGCUCCCUAUCCUGUUAGGUCGGUCCCUAUCACACAUGCUCUUCCCUGGAGCCCAGCUGCCUUGCAAUUUUGGGUGCAGAGUUUUAGGUUCCUUCUCUGGACAUUCCAAU
This 8552-nucleotide long non-coding RNA is filed under the name Heterocephalus glaber (naked mole-rat). Its description in RNAcentral is "lncRNA (ENSHGLG00100037999.1)". The record is from RNAcentral. Lineage: Eukaryota; Metazoa; Chordata; Mammalia; Rodentia; Bathyergidae.